Molecule: small nuclear RNA, 105 nt
Organism: Suncus etruscus (white-toothed pygmy shrew)
Lineage: Eukaryota; Metazoa; Chordata; Mammalia; Eulipotyphla; Soricidae
Source: RefSeq, a predicted model, not a curated record
GUGCUCGCUUCAGCAGCACAUAUACUAAAAUUGGAACGAUACAGAGAAGAUUAGCAUGGCCCCUGCGCAAGAAAAUGGAUGAUCUCUGCUGCUUUCCAAAUCCUA